UUCACAAUAUAAGUCAUUCUAGCAUUUCCCACAUUUAUAUUGAUGUUAAUGAAUCUAGGCAUAUCUAUCUAUCUAGAUUCAUUAACAUUAAUAUGAAUGUGGGAAAUGCUAGAAUGACUUACAUUGUGAA
This 130-nucleotide unclassified non-coding RNA is filed under the name Oryza sativa (Asian cultivated rice). RNAcentral describes it as "partial microRNA MIR472a-31-as precursor". Lineage: Eukaryota; Viridiplantae; Streptophyta; Magnoliopsida; Poales; Poaceae. The record is from RNAcentral.